RNAcentral lists this microRNA precursor (91 nucleotides) under Procavia capensis (Cape rock hyrax). RNAcentral's name for it is "miRNA (ENSPCAG00000020283.1)". The record is from RNAcentral. Lineage: Eukaryota; Metazoa; Chordata; Mammalia; Hyracoidea; Procaviidae.
AGGGUGACAAACUGCCUGGUUUGCCUGGGACUGAUGAGAUUCCUAGGACUGGGAGAGUUCCUGGCAAACUUUCAUUAAUUGGUCACCUUAG